RNAcentral lists this ribosomal RNA (358 nucleotides) under uncultured bacterium. Its description in RNAcentral is "bacterial SSU rRNA". It matches the Rfam family "Bacterial small subunit ribosomal RNA", at positions 8 to 353 of the family's 1533-position model. The record is from RNAcentral.
AGAGUUUGAUCAUGGCUCAGGAUGAACGCUAGCUACAGGCUUAACACAUGCAAGUCGGAGGGGCAGCUAUUUUAGUUUGCUUGCAAACUAAAGAUGGCGACCGGCGCACGGGUGAGUAACACGUAUCCAACCUGCCGAUAACUCGGGGGAUAGCCUUUCGAAAGAAAGAUUAAUAUCCGAUGGUAUAUUAAAACCGCAUGGUUUUACUAUUAAAGAAUUUCGGUUAUCGAUGGGGAUGCGUUCCAUUAGUUUGUUGGCGGGGUAACGGCCCACCAAGACUACGAUGGAUAGGGGUUCUGAGAGGAAGGUCCCCCACAUUGGAACUGAGACACGGUCCAAACUCCUACGGGAGGCAGCA